RNAcentral lists this ribosomal RNA (422 nucleotides) under uncultured Sediminibacterium sp. Its description in RNAcentral is "bacterial SSU rRNA". It matches the Rfam family "Bacterial small subunit ribosomal RNA", at positions 355 to 774 of the family's 1533-position model. The record is from RNAcentral. Lineage: Bacteria; Pseudomonadati; Bacteroidota; Chitinophagia; Chitinophagales; Chitinophagaceae.
UAAGGAAUAUUGGUCAAUGGACGCAAGUCUGAACCAGCCAUGCCGCGUGAAGGAUGAAGGUCCUCUGGAUUGUAAACUUCUUUUAUAAGGGACGAAAAAAGGGAAUUCUUUCUCACUUGACGGUACCUUAUGAAUAAGCACCGGCUAACUCCGUGCCAGCAGCCGCGGUAAUACGGAGGGUGCAAGCGUUAUCCGGAUUCACUGGGUUUAAAGGGUGCGUAGGCGGGUAUUUAAGUCAGUGGUGAAAUCCUAGAGCUUAACUCUAGAACUGCCAUUGAUACUAUUUAUCUUGAAUAUUGUGGAGGUAAGCGGAAUAUGUCAUGUAGCGGUGAAAUGCUUAGAUAUGACAUAGAACACCUAUUGCGAAGGCAGCUUACUACGCAUAUAUUGACGCUGAGGCACGAAAGCGUGGGGAUCAAACA